UCUACACAAGUAUGCCUACUUGAUCAACAGGCUGAUUCAGAGCUUGUGUAGAACAACUUAAUAAUGUCAGCAGUCUUACUGAAUGAGGCAGCUGCAAGUCAAGAUGAAGGAAUUCUUCAUUCUAGCUUGUGGUGUUUUGUCAUGCCUUAUUUGAGCUGAAUU
This 162-nucleotide non-coding RNA is filed under the name Lactobacillus iners SPIN 1401G. RNAcentral describes it as "DUF2800 RNA". It matches the Rfam family "DUF2800 RNA". Rfam says of the family: Actinobacteria, Firmicutes, Synergistetes (1 example). Lineage: Bacteria; Bacillati; Bacillota; Bacilli; Lactobacillales; Lactobacillaceae. The record is from RNAcentral.